AAUUGCCAGCAUUCAGUUGGGUCGACUUUAAAGAGACUGCCGGUGUUAAGCCGGAGGAAGGUGGGGAUGACGUCAAGUCCUCAUGGCCUUUAUGCCCAGGGCUACACACGUGCUACAAUGGGUGGUACAAAGAGAUGCCAACUCGCGAGAGCGCGCCAAUCUCAGAAAGCCAUCCUCAGUUCGGAUUGGAGUCUGCAACUCGACUCCAUGAAGUUGGAAUCGCUAGUAAUCGCGGAUCAGCACGCCGCGGUGAAUACGUUCCCGGGCCUU
This 270-nucleotide ribosomal RNA is filed under the name uncultured Smithella sp. RNAcentral's name for it is "partial 16S ribosomal RNA". It matches the Rfam family "Bacterial small subunit ribosomal RNA", at positions 1113 to 1382 of the family's 1533-position model. Lineage: Bacteria; Pseudomonadati; Thermodesulfobacteriota; Syntrophia; Syntrophales; Smithellaceae. The record is from RNAcentral.